UACGUAGGGGGCAAGCGUUGUCCGGAUUUAUUGGGCGUAAAGAGCGUGUAGGCGGCCAGGUAGGUCCGUUGUGAAAACUGGAGGCUUAACCUCCAGCUGUCGAUGGAAACCAUCUGGCUAGAGUCCGGAAGAGGAGAGUGGAAUUCCUGGUGUAGCGGUGAAAUGCGCAGAUAUCAGGAAGAACACCCGUGGCGAAGGCGGCUCUCUGGAACGCAACUGACGCUGAGACGCGAAAGCGUGGGGAGCAAACAGG
This 253-nucleotide ribosomal RNA is filed under the name uncultured bacterium. RNAcentral's name for it is "partial 16S ribosomal RNA". It matches the Rfam family "Bacterial small subunit ribosomal RNA", at positions 524 to 776 of the family's 1533-position model. The record is from RNAcentral.